GGUAGUGUAGCCAAGUGGUUACGGCGUCACGUUUAGGUCCUCCUGGAUAAUCCGUGAUGGGUUUCCCGCGCGAGUUCGAAUCUCGUCACUAUCA
Molecule: non-coding RNA, 94 nt
Organism: Cristinia sonorae
Lineage: Eukaryota; Fungi; Basidiomycota; Agaricomycetes; Agaricales; Stephanosporaceae
Source: the annotation of a GenBank genome assembly